CACGGGGGGAGCAAGCGUUGUUCGGAAUCACUGGGCGUAAAGGGUGUCUAGGCGGUCAGGUAAGUGAGAUGUGAAAUGCCCCGGCUUACCCGGGGACCUGCAUCUCAUACUGCCUGGCUUGAGUAUGGGAGAGGAUGAGGGAAUUCCUGGUGUAGCGGUGAAAUGCGUAGAUAUCAGGAGGAACACCGGUGGCGAAGGCGGGUCUCUGGACAGUUCCUGACACUGAGGCACGAAGGCCAGGGGAGCAAACGGG
This 253-nucleotide ribosomal RNA is filed under the name uncultured bacterium. RNAcentral's name for it is "partial 16S ribosomal RNA". It matches the Rfam family "Bacterial small subunit ribosomal RNA", at positions 524 to 776 of the family's 1533-position model. The record is from RNAcentral.